UGGCGAACGGGUGAGUAACACGUGAGUAACCUGCCCCAGACUCUGGGAUAACCUCGGGAAACCGGGGCUAAUACCGGAUAUGCAGCGUUCCCGCAUGGGAUGCGUUGGGAAAGUUUUUCGGUCUGGGAUGGACUCGCGGCCUAUCAGCUUGUUGGUGAGGUAGUGGCUCACCAAGGCGACGACGGGUAGCCGGCCUGAGAGGGCGACCGGCCACACUGGAACUGAGACACGGUCCAGACUCCUACGGGAGGCAGCAGUGGGGAAUAUUGCACAAUGGGCGCAAGCCUGAUGCAGCGACGCCGCGUGGGGGAUGAAGGCCUUCGGGUUGUAAACCCCUUUCAGCAGGGAAGAAGCGAAAGUGACGGUACCUGCAGAAGAAGCGCCGGCUAACUACGUGCCAGCAGCCGCGGUAAUACGUAGGGCGCAAGCGUUGUCCGGAAUUAUUGGGCGUAAAGAGCUCGUAGGCGGUUUGUCGCGUCUGCUGUGAAAACCCGAGGCUCAACCUCGGGCCUGCAGUGGGUACGGGCAGACUAGAGUGUGGUAGGGGAGACUGGAAUUCCUGGUGUAGCGGUGGAAUGCGCAGAUAUCAGGAGGAACACCGAUGGCGAAGGCAGGUCUCUGGGCCACAACUGACGCUGAGGAGCGAAAGCGUGGGGAGCGAACAGGAUUAGAUACCCUGGUAGUCCACGCCGUAAACGGUGGGCACUAGAUGUGGGGCUCAUUCCAUGAGUUCCGCGUCGCAGCUAACGCAUUAAGUGCCCCGCCUGGGGAGUACGGCCGCAAGGCUAAAACUCAAAGGAAUUGACGGGGGCCCGCACAAGCGGCGGAGCAUGCGGAUUAAUUCGAUGCAACGCGAAGAACCUUACCAAGGCUUGACA
This 878-nucleotide ribosomal RNA is filed under the name uncultured bacterium. Its description in RNAcentral is "bacterial SSU rRNA". It matches the Rfam family "Bacterial small subunit ribosomal RNA", at positions 96 to 986 of the family's 1533-position model. The record is from RNAcentral.